Molecule: ribosomal RNA, 460 nt
Filed under: uncultured bacterium
Lineage: Bacteria
Description: partial 16S ribosomal RNA
Rfam family: Bacterial small subunit ribosomal RNA
Source: RNAcentral
CCUACGGGUGGCAGCAGUGAGGAAUAUUGGUCAAUGGACGAGAGUCUGAACCAGCCAAGUAGCGUGAAGGAUGACUGCCCUAUGGGUUGUAAACUUCUUUUAUAUGGGAAUAAAACGUUCCACGUGUGGGAUUUUGUAUGUACCAUAUGAAUAAGGAUCGGCUAACUCCGUGCCAGCAGCCGCGGUAAUACGGGGGAUCCGAGCGUUAUCCGGAUUUAUUGGGUUUAAAGGGAGCGUAGGUGGAUUGUUAAGUCAGUUGUGAAAGUUUGCGGCUCAACCGUAAAAUUGCAGUUGAAACUGGCAGUCUUGAGUACAGUAGAGGUGGGCGGAAUUCGUGGUGUAGCGGUGAAAUGCUUAGAUAUCACGAAGAACUCCGAUUGCGAAGGCAGUUCACUGGACUGCAACUGACACUGAGGCUCGAAAGUGUGGGUAUCAAACAGGAUUAGAUACCCCAGUAGUC